GACGAACGCUGGCGGCGUGCUUAACACAUGCAAGUCGAACGGAAAGGCCCUGCUUUUGUGGGGUGCUCGAGUGGCGAACGGGUGAGUAACACGUGAGUAACCUGCCCUUGACUUUGGGAUAACUUCAGGAAACUGGGGCUAAUACCGGAUAGGAGCUCCUGCUGCAUGGUGGGGGUUGGAAAGUUUCGGCGGUUGGGGAUGGACUCGCGGCUUAUCAGCUUGCUGGUGGGGUAGUGGCUUACCAAGGCUUUGACGGGUAGCCGGCCUGAGAGGGUGACCGGCCACAUUGGGACUGAGAUACGGCCCAGACGCCUACGGGAGGCAGCAGUGGGGAAUAUUGCACAAUGGGCGGAAGCCUGAGGCAGCAACGCCGCGUGCGGGAUGACGGCCUUCGGGUUGUAAACCGCUUUCGCCUGUGACGAAGCGUGAGUGACGGUAAUGGGUAAAGAAGCACCGGCUAACUACGUG
This 468-nucleotide ribosomal RNA is filed under the name uncultured bacterium. RNAcentral describes it as "partial 16S ribosomal RNA". It matches the Rfam family "Bacterial small subunit ribosomal RNA", at positions 28 to 507 of the family's 1533-position model. The record is from RNAcentral.